This 381-nucleotide ribosomal RNA is filed under the name uncultured eukaryote. RNAcentral describes it as "partial 18S ribosomal RNA". It matches the Rfam family "Eukaryotic small subunit ribosomal RNA", at positions 592 to 976 of the family's 1831-position model. The record is from RNAcentral.
CAAUAGCGUAUAUUAAAGCUGUGGCGGUUAAAAAGCUCGUAGUUGGAUUUCUGUCAAGGACAACUGGUCCGCCCUCCGGGUGAGCACAUAGUUUGGUCUUGACAUCUUGCUGGAAGCUGUUGCUGCACUUGGCUGUGUGGCGCAGUGUUCAGCACUUUCACUUUGAGGAAAUUGGAGUGUUUCAAGCAGGCACAUGCCUUUGGACACAGUAGCAUGGAAUAAUUAGAUUGGGCUUUUGCUCCAAUUUGUCGGUUUCUGGAGCUGAGGUGAGUAUUAAUGGGGAUUGUUGGGGGCAUCCGAAUUUAGCCGUCAGAGGUGAAAUUCUUGGAUCUGCUAAAGACGGACAACUGCGAAAGCGUUUGCCCAGGAUGUUUUCAUUGA